CAAUGUAGUUAGGAUAGCACUAUUUGAUGUAUUUCUGGGGAGCCCACUGAAGCUAAGCAGGGCUGUGCCCGGUCAGUAUCUGGAUGAGAGACCACAUGGGAAAGCUAGGUUGCUGCUUUAA
RNAcentral lists this ribosomal RNA (121 nucleotides) under Danio rerio (zebrafish). Lineage: Eukaryota; Metazoa; Chordata; Actinopteri; Cypriniformes; Danionidae. The record is from RNAcentral.